RNAcentral lists this ribosomal RNA (775 nucleotides) under uncultured Neocallimastigales. Its description in RNAcentral is "partial large subunit ribosomal RNA". It matches the Rfam family "Eukaryotic large subunit ribosomal RNA", at positions 18 to 616 of the family's 3401-position model. The record is from RNAcentral. Lineage: Eukaryota; Fungi; Neocallimastigomycota; Neocallimastigomycetes; Neocallimastigales.
UCAGACGAUGCGUCAUGCAUAUCAAUAAGCGGAGGAAAAGAAACUAACAAGGAUUCCCCUAGUAACGGCGAGUGAAGCGGGAAGAGCUCAAAUUUGAAAUCUUAAAGGGUUUCCCUUUACGAAUUGUAGUUUAAAGAAGUGUUUUCUGUUGAGGUUUUGGUAAAAGUUCUUUGGAAUAGGACAUCAUAGAGGGUGAGAAUCCCGUAUUUGACCUUUACUUUCAACUUUGUGAUACACUUUCAAAGAGUCGGAUUGUUUGGGAAUGCAGUCCAAAAUGGGUGGUAAAUUUCAUCUAAAGCUAAAUAUUGGCGAGAGACCGAUAGCGAACAAGUACCGUGAGGGAAAGAUGAAAAGAACUUUGAAAAGAGAGUUAAACAGUACGUGAAAUUGUCAAAAGGGAAGCGUUUGACACCAGUGUUGUUUUUCUGAAAAUCAAUUAAAGAACUGUUUAUGCUAAGCUGUUUAGACUUUAUCAGCUAAUCUGUUUAGUUUUGAGCUUUUCUUUAAUGCACUUUUCAGUUAACAAGUCAACAUCAAUUUCUUUUGCUGUAAAAAAGCUUGAGGAAGGUGGCUUGAGAUUUGUCUUAAGUGUUUAUAGCCUCUUGCCUAUGCAGUCGGAGAGAUUGAGGUCUGCAGCGUAGAUCCUUCGGGGCUAAAUGCAUUUGUGCUAAGUUAUAGCAUUUUAUAGACAACUUGUUGACUAUGAUUUGUCUUGUAGCUUACUCGCUUAUGUUAUUUUACCUACGCUUAGGAUGUUGAGCGCAUGUCUCUCUCU